RNAcentral lists this ribosomal RNA (266 nucleotides) under Cortinarius trivialis. RNAcentral describes it as "partial large subunit ribosomal RNA". It matches the Rfam family "Eukaryotic large subunit ribosomal RNA", at positions 419 to 675 of the family's 3401-position model. Lineage: Eukaryota; Fungi; Basidiomycota; Agaricomycetes; Agaricales; Cortinariaceae. The record is from RNAcentral.
ACGCUUGAAGUCAGUCGCGUCAUUCAGGGAUCAACCUUGCUUUUGCUUGGUGUACUUUCUGGUUGACGGGUCAACAUCAAUUUUGACCAUUGGAAAAAGAUUAAGGGAAUGUGGCAUACAUAGUGAUGUGUUAUAGCCCUUGGUUGCAUACAAUGGUUGGGAUUGAGGUACUCAGCACGCCGCAAGGCCAGGUUUACCAUGUACGUGCUUAGGAUGUUGGCAUAAUGGCUUUAAUCGACCCGUCUUGAAACACGGACCAAGGAGUC